Molecule: long non-coding RNA, 2437 nt
Filed under: Equus caballus (horse)
Lineage: Eukaryota; Metazoa; Chordata; Mammalia; Perissodactyla; Equidae
Description: lncRNA (ENSECAG00000047952.1)
Source: RNAcentral
CUUGACCUUGCAUUUGGUCUUGAGGGGAUCCCAGUGUGGGAUCAGAGCAAAUGAAUCUUUCCCACUAUGGGAUAGGGGAAACAACCCUGUUCAUGACAGGUCAAGAGUGUCAUAUUUCCCCCUUCAUCUUGUAGAGUAUUAUCCUCUUAAAUAGUAUACCUACAUCCAGAUCCAAGAAAAAGCGUGCCAGCAACAGACCCAGCAGCCACUCUGUACGGUCCUUGCAACGACCCACUUGGCAGCCGAGGCUCCAGGAGGUCCAGUAGGUUGCCUGAGGUCACAUGAGUAGAAACUGAGAGCUGAGAGUCAAGCUCGGAGCUGUCUGAUUCUAAAGGCUUCUCUCUGAACAGAUCUGCUACCCUCCUUCCCAGCCAGCCCUCCCCACUGAUGCCAGGCACCUUUUUAAAGUACAGCUGGGAGACCUGAUGCAACCUGAUGCUUUUUUCUGUGUGUAUCAGCAUUGCAGAAGGCAGACGCCCAACCCCAGAAAUGCCUUAGUUGGAAUAUAAGAGCCUCUCUCGUUUUGCCCAAUCUACCCUCCUUGCUUGUCUCUUCUGCCCUCCUUUGCAUGUUGCAUGCCUCAGCGCUUUCCUGCUCAGCCUAGGCUGCCUCUCGCCUCUGUGCCUUUGCUCAAGCUGGUCCCUCCACCUAGGGGGCCCCUUCCUGCACUUGCCCACGUGGCUAACAAAUGCGUGAUGGCAUUUAAGGAUCUCUUUCUCAGUGAUGCUCUCCCCGAUGUCCCCAAGCAGAACUGAAUUCUUUCUCCUUGGAUGUCUCCAUCAAAAUAGGUAUCACAUUAUUAAAAUGACUGUUUUGUGUCUAAGUUCCUCUUCCCUACCAACCUGUGAGCUUGAGGACCAAGACCCCGUGAGAGGCAGUGCAAUAAAGAGCACAGUGUUGGAGCCAGACCUGCCGCACUUCAAAUCUCAAAGGCUGCAUGACUUCGGGCAAGAUGAGAGAAAACUGAGACACAGAACAUUGAGGUGACUCGCCAGAGGCCACACAGCUCAUAGGUGCCCGAGCUAGGAUGUAAGCCCAAGCUUUCUGACAGCAGAAUCUAUGCUCCUCACACCUGGAGCCCAGAUCUUGGUUUGAAGACACCUCUCCCCACUGAGAAGAGCCACGUUUCUUGGAGAAAUGGCUGAUUCCAGGUCUGGGGCUAGGAAAGACAGGUGAGCCAGGGUCGUCUAGUUCCAGAAAGCAAGCAGGUGUCCAAAAUGAUGGGCAUGUGUCAAGAGCCCCAAAUUCAGCUUUAUGGGACUUGUAAUGGCCAAGUUUGGGACAAGUUUUGCAUGAAAAACGACAGAAGUUGAUUGUUACACAUUAAGGACUAAAAUUCCACAAGUCCAUAGGGACUCUUGAGACAAAGGGAGAGAGGCAAACAAGGAGAGAGAGAGAAAGAAACAAGAAAGAGCUUCUUUAAGAAGAACACCAAGGACCCACAACUAAAAUGUACGACUAUGUACUGGAGGGAUUUGAGGGGGAAAAGCAUGAAAAAAAAAAAAGAAGAUUGGCAACAGUUGUUAGCUCAGGUGCCAAUCUUUAAAAAAAAAAAAGGAAAACCAGCUAAUCUAGGAGUAACAGAAUGAAAGACUCAGGAAAAGUAUCGCUUUUAAACUUGCAAUUUAGCAAUCAUUUCAGGACAGAAUUAGCAAUGGAUGCUGGGACACCUGGGAGAAAGGUCCGACAGGAGAAAUUUGGCCGAGUGCCAACGCGUCCCCCACGGAUGUCUUUCUAAAGCAGAGAGGGUGAAGCGUGCCUCCACAGGGGGCGAUCUGGUGUCACCACCUUAACCAAGUGACAAGCUUCUCUCUGUUGAUCUUGGGGCACGCUCAUAUUGCACACCUCCUAAGGUGGUGCAAUUUGAAAUACAGAGCAUCAUCUGUAAGGGAUCCUUGCCGAAAACGUAAAACAUGAGUCUAAUUUGAAUUAACUAGAAUCUAAUUUAGACCCAAAUUCCAGUUUAUGGAAAAUAUAGGGGACAGAGGCACAAGACACAUGACAACAUGGGGAAGCAAUCAGACAAAUCCAGAACAUGGGACAGUCUACAAGACGACUCGUCCAGACUCUACAAAAAGUCAAUGUCUUAAGAAUCUGUGUGUGUGCGUGUGUGUGUUUGGGGUGGGGGGUGUUGAGGUUAAAAGACGAAACAAAGACAAUAAACAAAUAUAGUGCAUGGAUCUUGCUUGGACGGUGGUUUAAAAUUUUUAAAACGCAGUCAGGACAAAUACGGAAAUUUGAACUUGGAUGUUAGAUGUUCUGGAAUCCUUGUUCAUUUUCUUAGGUAUAAUAAUGGCGCCGUGCUUGUGUAAGGGAAUGCCUUGCUCUCAGACUGAACCAUUUAGUGGUGAAGUCACCAUCUCUGUGACUUUAAAUAGUUCAGAAAAAUACACACACACACAUAUAGAUAAAUAGACAGACAGACGGAUGAACAAAC